UUCAUACUACAGAGUUCCCCUGAGGCUGGGCCUUUGAUGCAGUUGUACCUUUGCUAGGUGUUCCGGCCAGUGGAAUGCCCCCCACAGACAUCCAACUACAAGGAGCAUAAUUGACAGAUGGCCCCAGCGACUGCCUCUGAAAUUCAUUAUUGGGUUUGUACUGAGCCCCCCCCCCCCGACGCUGCUCCUAGCCAAUGAGUAUGAAGGAACUCAAGAGUGGGAGACACAGGACUCCUCAGACAGAGGAUCGGGACAAACACACUGGGCCUCCCCCUGACUCCCAACGUCUUCAUAGUUCUUCCUGUGAGCACUUGCACAUGAAUCCUCAUCCAGCAUCUGCUCCUGGGGGAUUCCAGCCACUGCCAUCCAUUUACAGAAUGGGCGUUUAUUGGGCAGCCACUAUAUUCUGGCCCCUUUAAACCUAUGGAGACAAAACCUGCCUGCACAGUGUCCUCGUACAUAUUCACAACGUUUUCUCAG
Mirounga angustirostris (Northern elephant seal) is the source of this 480-nucleotide long non-coding RNA. RefSeq lists it as uncharacterized. NCBI's taxonomy places the organism in Eukaryota, Metazoa, Chordata, Mammalia, Carnivora, Phocidae. The record is from RefSeq and is a predicted model, not a curated record. The transcript is spliced from 3 exons.